GAUUAAGAGCUUGCUCUUAUGAAGUUAGCGGCGGACGGGUGAGUAACACGUGGGUAACCUGCCCAUAAGACUGGGAUAACUCCGGGAAACCGGGGCUAAUACCGGAUAACAUUUUGAACCGCAUGGUUCGAAAUUGAAAGGCGGCUUCGGCUGUCACUUAUGGAUGGACCCGCGUCGCAUUAGCUAGUUGGUGAGGUAACGGCUCACCAAGGCAACGAUGCGUAGCCGACCUGAGAGGGUGAUCGGCCACACUGGGACUGAGACACGGCCCAGACUCCUACGGGAGGCAGCAGUAGGGAAUCUUCCGCAAUGGACGAAAGUCUGACGGAGCAACGCCGCGUGAGUGAUGAAGGCUUUCGGGUCGUAAAACUCUGUUGUUAGGGAAGAACAAGUGCUAGUUGAAUAAGCUGGCACCUUGACGGUACCUAACCAGAAAGCCACGGCUAACUACGUGCCAGCAGCCGCGGUAAUACGUAGGUGGCAAGCGUUAUCCGGAAUUAUUGGGCGUAAAGCGCGCGCAGGUGGUUUCUUAAGUCUGAUGUGAAAGCCCACGGCUCAACCGUGGAGGGUCAUUGGAAACUGGGAGACUUGAGUGCAGAAGAGGAAAGUGGAAUUCCAUGUGUAGCGGUGAAAUGCGUAGAGAUAUGGAGGAACACCAGUGGCGAA
Molecule: ribosomal RNA, 666 nt
Filed under: Bacillus sp. (in: firmicutes)
Lineage: Bacteria; Bacillati; Bacillota; Bacilli; Caryophanales; Bacillaceae
Description: bacterial SSU rRNA
Rfam family: Bacterial small subunit ribosomal RNA
Source: RNAcentral